RNAcentral lists this ribosomal RNA (492 nucleotides) under uncultured bacterium. RNAcentral's name for it is "partial 16S ribosomal RNA". It matches the Rfam family "Bacterial small subunit ribosomal RNA", at positions 28 to 507 of the family's 1533-position model. The record is from RNAcentral.
GAUGAACGCUAGCUACAGGCUUAACACAUGCCAGUCGAGGGGAAACGACAUCGAAAGCUUGCUUUUGAUGGGCGUCGACCGGCGCACGGGUGAGUAACGCGUAUCCAACCUGCCCAUCACUUGGGAAUAACCUUGCGAAAGUAAGACUAAUACCCAAUGACAUCCCACGAAGACAUCUGAAUGGGAUUAAAGAUUUAUCGGUGAUGGAUGGGGAUGCGUCUGAUUAGCUUGUUGGCGGGGUAACGGCCCACCAAGGCAACGAUCAGUAGGGGUUCUGAGAGGAAGGUCCCCCACAUUGGAACUGAGACACGGUCCAAACUCCUACGGGAGGCAGCAGUGAGGAAUAUUGGUCAAUGGGCGAGAGCCUGAACCAGCCAAGUAGCGUGCAGGAGGACGGCCCUAUGGGUUGUAAACUGCUUUUAUAAGGGAAGAAAGUGGGUCUCGUGAGACUUUUUGCAUGUACCUUAUGAAUAAGGACCGGCUAAUUCCGUG